CUCUCUCUCUCGACUCUCGUCUCUCGCACAGUGACUCCCACCAUUGAAGCACAAAGCACUCACCCACCGACCACCGCUCCUUCCCCGCCCCUGCAGCCAAUCGUUUGUGCAUGACCCUGACUGCCUCUCUUUAGUCUUUCACAUGCACCAGCCAGUCGACCACCUGGACCGCCUCCAUGCGAGAUGCGACUGCAACAACCGACGCAAGUGCCGACGAGCUGUCAAUCUCUUCGGCAAUUACUCAGGGGCGGACUCCGGUUCUACUGACUUGAAGGUUAGAAGCUUUACAUUUACUCAAAUUUUUUCUUUGAAUUCUUCUCCAUAACCGUAAUUGCUCUGCUGCCUCUGCAGUGGUUAGUUCUAUUUCUAAAUUUGGAUUUAUGUACAAUACAAUUAAUCAAUUAUGAUUCUAGAACCUGCCCAAUAAAUGUAAUUUAGAGAUUUCUGAUUUAGGGCUUUGAUUUAGGAAAUUGACCCUUUUCUGAUUUAGGGCUUUGUUACUUAUUUAUAUGUAAAUUGAUAAUAUUGAUUUGGGAAGAUUGAAACUCUGUCUUACUUUUGGUAGGUAUGACAUAGUAUAAACUGAUUUAGGCAUUUCUAAUCUUGUUGAUUUUUCAUUUUUGGUUGGUUUGUUUCAGUUAUGGAAAAAUACUUUAAACAUACAUCU
This 667-nucleotide long non-coding RNA is filed under the name Olea europaea (common olive). Its description in RNAcentral is "long non-coding RNA (OEUR_LNC003400)". Lineage: Eukaryota; Viridiplantae; Streptophyta; Magnoliopsida; Lamiales; Oleaceae. The record is from RNAcentral.